GUGCCAGCAGCCGCGGUAAUACGUAGGGCGCAAGCGUUAUCCGGAAUUAUUGGGCGUAAAGAGCUCGUAGGCGGUUUGUCGCGUCUGCCGUGAAAGUCCGGGGCUCAACUCCGGAUCUGCGGUGGGUACGGGCAGACUAGAGUGAUGUAGGGGAGACUGGAAUUCCUGGUGUAGCGGUGAAAUGCGCAGAUAUCAGGAGGAACACCGAUGGCGAAGGCAGGUCUCUGGGCAUUAACUGACGCUGAGGAGCGAAAGCAUGGGGAGCGAACAGGAUUAGAAACCCUUGUAGUCC
This 292-nucleotide ribosomal RNA is filed under the name uncultured Arthrobacter sp. RNAcentral's name for it is "partial 16S ribosomal RNA". It matches the Rfam family "Bacterial small subunit ribosomal RNA", at positions 505 to 796 of the family's 1533-position model. The record is from RNAcentral. Lineage: Bacteria; Bacillati; Actinomycetota; Actinomycetes; Micrococcales; Micrococcaceae.